Molecule: ribosomal RNA, 832 nt
Filed under: uncultured bacterium
Lineage: Bacteria
Description: bacterial SSU rRNA
Rfam family: Bacterial small subunit ribosomal RNA
Source: RNAcentral
ACGCUUCUUUUCUACCGAGUGCUUGCACUCAUUUGAAAAGAGGAGUGGCGGACGGGUGAGUAACACGUGGGUAACCUGCCCAUCAGAGGGGGAUAACACUUGGAAACAGGUGCUAAUACCGCAUAAUAGUCGACACCGAAUGGUGUUGAUUUGAAAGACGCCUUCGGGUGUCACUGAUGGAUGGACCCGCGGUGCAUUAGCUAGUUGGUGAGGUAACGGCUCACCAAGGCGAUGAUGCAUAGCCGACCUGAGAGGGUGAUCGGCCACACUGGGACUGAGACACGGCCCAGACUCCUACGGGAGGCAGCAGUAGGGAAUCUUCGGCAAUGGACGAAAGUCUGACCGAGCAACGCCGCGUGAGUGAAGAAGGUUUUCGGAUCGUAAAACUCUGUUGUUAGAGAAGAACAAGUAGGAGAGUAACUGCUCUUACCUUGACGGUAUCUAACCAGAAAGCCACGGCUAACUACGUGCCAGCAGCCGCGGUAAUACGUAGGUGGCAAGCGUUGUCCGGAUUUAUUGGGCGUAAAGCGAGCGCAGGCGGUUUCUUAAGUCUGAUGUGAAAGCCCCCGGCUCAACCGGGGAGGGUCAUUGGAAACUGGGAGACUUGAGUGCAGAAGAGGAGAGUGGAAUUCCAUGUGUAGCGGUGAAAUGCGUAGAUAUAUGGAGGAACACCAGUGGCGAACGCGACUCUCUGGUCUGUAACUGACGCUGACGCUCGAAAGCGUGGGGAGCAAACAGGAUUAGAUACUCCUGGUAGUCUACGCCGUAACGAUGAGUGCUAAGUGUUGGAGGGUCUCUGCUCUUCAGUGCUGCAGCAAACGCAUUAAGCACU